RNAcentral lists this ribosomal RNA (449 nucleotides) under uncultured bacterium. RNAcentral describes it as "partial 16S ribosomal RNA". It matches the Rfam family "Bacterial small subunit ribosomal RNA", at positions 29 to 523 of the family's 1533-position model. The record is from RNAcentral.
AACGAACGCUGGCGGCAUGCCUAACACAUGCAAGUCGAACGAAGGCUUUGGCCUUAGUGGCGCACGGGUGAGUAACGCGUGGGAAACUGCCUAUUGGUGGGGAAUAACGACGGGAAACUGUCGCUAAUACCGCAUAAGCCCUUCGGGGGAAAGAUUUAUCGCCGAUAGAUGUGCCCGCGUCCGAUUAGCUAGUUGGUGAGGUAAUGGCUCACCAAGGCGACGAUCGGUAGCUGGUCUGAGGGGAUGAUCAGCCACACUGGGACUGAGACACGGCCCAGACUCCUGCGGGAGGCAGCAGUGGGGAAUAUUGGACAAUGGGCGAAAGCCUGAUCCAGCAAUGCCGCGUGAGUGAUGAAGGCCUUAGGGUUGUAAAGCUCUUUCGGGUGGGACGAUGAUGACGGUACCACCAGAAGAAGCCCCGGCUAACUUCGUGCCAGCAGCCGCGGUAA